This 438-nucleotide ribosomal RNA is filed under the name uncultured bacterium. RNAcentral describes it as "bacterial SSU rRNA". It matches the Rfam family "Bacterial small subunit ribosomal RNA", at positions 338 to 793 of the family's 1533-position model. The record is from RNAcentral.
CCUACGGGGCGCACCAGUGGGGAAUAUUGGACAAUGGGCGAAAGCCUGAUCCAGCAAUGCCGCGUGUGUGAAGAAGGUCUUCGGAUUGUAAAGCACCUUCGACGGGGACGAUGAUGACGGUACCCGUAGAAGAAGCCCCGGCUAACUUCGUGCCAGCAGCCGCGGUAAUACGAAGGAGGCUAGCGUUGCUCGGAAUGACUGGGCGUAAAGGGCGCGUAGGCGGUUUAUGCAGUCAGAUGUGAAAUCCCCGGGCUUAACCUGGGAACUGCAUUUGAGACGCAUAGACUAGAGGUCGAGAGAGGGUUGUGGAAUUCCCAGUGUAGAGGUGAAAUUCGUAGAUAUUGGGAAGAACACCGGUGGCGAAGGCGGCAACCUGGCUCGAUACUGACGCUGGGGCGCGAAAGCGUGGGGAGCAAACAGGAUUAGAUACCCGCGUAG